GAUGAACGCUGGCGGCGUGCUUAACACAUGCAAGUCGAACGAAGCACUUUAUUUGAUUUCCUUCGGGACUGAUUAUUUUGUGACUGAGUGGCGGACGGGUGAGUAACGCGUGGGUAACCUGCCUUGUACAGGGGGAUAACAGUUGGAAACGGCUGCUAAUACCGCAUAAGCGCACGGCAUCGCAUGAUGCAGUGUGAAAAACUCCGGUGGUAUAAGAUGGACCCGCGUUGGAUUAGCUAGUUGGUGAGGUAACGGCCCACCAAGGCGACGAUCCAUAGCCGACCUGAGAGGGUGACCGGCCACAUUGGGACUGAGACACGGCCCAAACUCCUACGGGAGGCAGCAGUGGGGAAUAUUGCACAAUGGGCGAAAGCCUGAUGCAGCGACGCCGCGUGAGCGAAGAAGUAUUUAGGUAUGUAAAGCUCUAUCAGCAGGGAAGAUAAUGACGGUACCUGACUAAGAAGCACCGGCUAAAUACGUG
RNAcentral lists this ribosomal RNA (481 nucleotides) under uncultured bacterium. Its description in RNAcentral is "partial 16S ribosomal RNA". It matches the Rfam family "Bacterial small subunit ribosomal RNA", at positions 28 to 507 of the family's 1533-position model. The record is from RNAcentral.